Molecule: ribosomal RNA, 442 nt
Filed under: uncultured bacterium
Lineage: Bacteria
Description: partial 16S ribosomal RNA
Rfam family: Bacterial small subunit ribosomal RNA
Source: RNAcentral
CCUACGGGAGGCAGCAGUGGGGAAUAUUGGGCAAUGGGCGCAAGCCUGAACCAGCAACGUCGCGUGAAGGAAGAAGGCUCUAGGGUUGUAAACUUCUUUUUAUAGGGAAGAGAAGAAGACGGUACCUCUUGAAUAAGCUACGCCUAACUACGAGCCAGCAGCCGCGGCCAUACGUAGGGGGCAGGCGUUAUCCGGAUUUACUGGGUGUAAAGGGCGUGCAGACGGGAAGUCAAGUCAGAUGGGAAAUCCCGCGGCUCAACCGCGGAACUGCAUUUGAAACUGGUUUUCUUGAGUACCGGAGAGGUCAUCGGAAUUCGUGGUGUAGCGGUGAAAUGCUUAGAUAUAACGAAGAACACCAAUGGCGAAGGCGGAUGACUGGACGGCCACUGACGGUGAGGCGCGAAAGCGUGGGGAGCAAACAGGAUUAGAUACCCCAGUAGUC